AUGCAGGUACAGUGACAAGCUAGGAAGUAGAACUGACAAAGCUAUUGGUGAGACACACGGCGGCGUGCCAGGUCAAUCGGCGGUUCCUAGAAAUCAACUGGUCGAUGAGUGAGCGGAGUUCCGCCCCGCCGGCAGACAGGAAAGAUGGCCGCCGCCGUCCAUCCGGAUGCCUUCAGGAAAGAAUGCCAUCGUUGUAGUAAUGCCACCAGAGAACUGGAUCUGGAGACGUGGAUGCGUUCGUUUGGCGGACAUGGAGGUUCUACAUCUGCUUAAAAGCAAAGCGUGUCGCAAAACAAAAGCCCCUCUGCUCUGUGAUGCAAAGGCAGGAUGAUUGUCGGAUGUCAGCAGGUGGAAAUAUUCAAACAAGACAACAUUCAGCUCAGGGAAUUGUCAAGAAAUAAAAAGAGGAAGGAAAAAAGAAA
Molecule: non-coding RNA, 422 nt
Organism: Oryzias latipes (Japanese medaka)
Lineage: Eukaryota; Metazoa; Chordata; Actinopteri; Beloniformes; Adrianichthyidae
Source: RefSeq, a predicted model, not a curated record